UCGAACGGAAUCAAGGGGCUUGCUCCUUGAUUUAGUGGCGCACGGGUGAGUAACGCGUGGAUAAUCUGCCCUGGUAUCCUGGAUAACAUUUCGAAAGGAGUGCUAAUACGGGAUAAGCCCACGGGGUCUUCGGACCUUGCGGGAAAAGGUGGCCUCUGAAUAUGCUACCGUAUCAGGAUGAGUCCGCGUACCAUUAGCUAGUUGGCGGGGUAACGGCCCACCAAGGCGACGAUGGUUAGCUGGUCUGAGAGGAUGAUCAGCCACACUGGAACUGAGACACGGUCCAGACUCCUACGGGAGGCAGCAGUGGGGAAUUUUGCGCAAUGGGGGAAACCCUGACGCAGCAACGCCGCGUGAGUGAUGAAGGCCUUCGGGUCGUAAAGCUCUGUCAGAGGGAAAGAAGUGUAUAGUGGUUAAUACCCAUUAUACUUGACGGUACCCUCAAAGGAAGCACCGGCUAACUCCGUGCCAGCAGCCGCGGUAAUACGGAGGGUGCGAGCGUUGUUCGGAUUUAUUGGGCGUAAAGCGCGUGUAGGCGGUCUUUUAAGUCUGAUGUGAAAGCCCCGGGCUCAACCUGGGAAGUGCAUUGGAAACUGGGAGACUUGAAUACGGGAGAGGGUAGUGGAAUUCCUGGUGUAGGAGUGAAAUCCGUAGAUAUCAGGAGGAACACCGGUGGCGAAGGCGGCUGCCUGGACCGAUAUUGACGCUGAGACGCGAAAGCGUGGGGAGCAAACAGGA
RNAcentral lists this ribosomal RNA (738 nucleotides) under uncultured bacterium. RNAcentral describes it as "bacterial SSU rRNA". It matches the Rfam family "Bacterial small subunit ribosomal RNA", at positions 62 to 777 of the family's 1533-position model. The record is from RNAcentral.